Molecule: ribosomal RNA, 494 nt
Filed under: uncultured bacterium
Lineage: Bacteria
Description: partial 16S ribosomal RNA
Rfam family: Bacterial small subunit ribosomal RNA
Source: RNAcentral
GACGAACGCUGGCGGCGUGCUUGACACAUGCAAGUCGAACGGAAAGGCCUGCUUUCCCUUGUGGAUUGCGGGUACUCGAGUGGCGAACGGGUGAGUAACACGUGAGUGAUCUGCCCCCAACUUGGGUAUAAGCCUGGGAAACUGGGUCUAAUUCCCGAUAGGACUGCAGGGUGGUGCCUGUGGUGGAAAACGAUUUUCUAGUGGUUGGGGAUGAGCUCGCGGCCUAUCAGCUUGUUGGUGGGGUAAUGGCCUACCAAGGCGGCGACGGGUAGCCGGCCUGGGAGGGUGGGCGGCCACAUUGGGACUGAGAUACGGCCCAGACUCCUACGGGAGGCAGCAGUGGGGAAUAUUGCACAAUGGGCGGAAGCCUGAUGCAGCGACGCCGCGUGGGGGAUGACGGCCUUCGGGUUGUAAACUCCUUUCGACCGCGAGGAAGCCACCUGGUUGGAAGGGUGGUGACGGUAGUGGUAGAAGAAGCACCGGCUAACUACGUG